This 1875-nucleotide long non-coding RNA is filed under the name Scophthalmus maximus (turbot). RNAcentral describes it as "lncRNA (ENSSMAG00000022220.1)". Lineage: Eukaryota; Metazoa; Chordata; Actinopteri; Pleuronectiformes; Scophthalmidae. The record is from RNAcentral.
AUGUUAACUGAAAACUUUAUUACACGACAGAGGCCGAUAACUCGCUCCUGCAGUUUUGGGGACGCACUGAGCAGCAGCAGCACCUCUCAUGCUUUAACCCAUAGCACACACCAACACCAGGAAGAAGAGGGGUCGCCACGACAACGACGCAUUACCAUUCCAUCAUAUGUGCCUCGGUCUAAGGAUCAGAAUGGAAACUUUCCUGAGAAGGAUGUGGACAAGCAAGUCACCAAAUGUCUCAGGGAGCUGAACACAGAUGAAGUAUGCACGUGGUUUACCAAUAUUGGACUGCAGAAAUGUCUCCCUUUCAUCAAAGAAGCCAAACUGCGCGGCGCAGACAUAGCUUCAGUGGAUGUGGGCACGUUGGACCUCCUCCAGGUCACCACACUGGGAGAUAGAGAGCAGCUGCUGUCGGCUAUUUAUAAUGAGCUGCACCCUCCCAGCGCCAUCACCCAGAGACUCGACUCUCUGCUCGGUACACUUUUAUCUUUGCGACACGAAAAAAAGAAACAUUUUCCAUAUAUAUGUCACAUGAAGAAUGUUAAAGAGAAUAUUUACUGUUUUUUCCCCGUAAUAGAAUCUCCAGGGCCCAAUAAUGUGGAGACAUUCACUGCAACACUGGUGUCAAUGAGCAAGUCUACCUCUGCUCCACAUGUGAACUGCCUGAGCAUGAAUGGACGUUCCCUCAAACUCAGCCAGAACUACAUGGUGCAGAGGAAUUCUCAGCUGAUAGAGAUCACUAUUAAUGCAUCAGAGCGGAUCGUUCAUCUCAGAACCCCAAAGGAAACAACAGUAGGAAAAAUCAUGGAUUCGUGCAUCAAAAUGCUGGGAGUGGCAGAAGAUCAAAGUCUAUUGUCACUGAAAGAAAAGCAAGGUUCGUCAGAGGAGCUCCCACCAGAUCAGCAGAUUGGGAGUCUACUUGCAUCGACAUCAGAGAACAGACAGUUGGAGCUGCAUUUGUGUAAAACGGCGAAACCAACGACUACUGUCUCCCAAAACAGUCCAGAAGUCAAUAGCUCCGAUGAAAAUGCUAACAUCAACAAAAAUGUCCAGUGGAACCAGCCAGCGAAAGAAGAGAGGAUUAGGGAGCUGAACCAACAGGUGGACUCUCUGCAAAGCGUCAUCUUUCAGGUCCAGGAGCUCCACCACGGCCUGGUAGCUUUUUGUUCAGAGUUAAAGAACAUGGAUGGAGAUGUGAGUAUAGACAGGCUUGGCUCAGCUGAGCUGGAGCAGAGGCUGGAGUCGGUGAAGAGCCGACUGAGCGAUAAGAGGCAGAGCCUGCAGAGCCUCAGAGACAACAACAACAACAACUCAGCUGCUCACAAGAAGAAGCAGCUGGAAGUUCGUCUCUUGGAGAAGAUGAAGCUGAACUGCCAAGUGUUUAAGGAGGAGAUUUCCAUGGUACAUCUCAACCGACAGGCCGCUCACCUACAAAAUGCUUUGCAGGAAAGCAAGGAGAAAACUCGGAAAAAGAGUCUGGCCAUCGGUAGCCUGAGCCAGCUGGUGUCGCUGCAGUCUCCUGCCAUGCUCCUGGUUGUACAGGAGAAGCGGGGCCUGGAUGGCCAGUAUGGCUUUGCAUGUCGCUGCAGAGAGGGCAGCGGACUUGUGGUGGUCAAGGUUGACAACACUCACCUCUGUGUAGAGGACAGACUGGUGGAGGUGAACGGUGUGCCGGUAGUGAACUCCACACAGGAAGAACUUUCUGACCUCCUGCUGCAGGGACCCAGCGCUCAAAUAGUUGUUCUUCGCCAGCCCCCGCCCACACUCACCUGCAAGCAGCACCUGGUCAACACCAAUCCCAUGCAAACAAGCUGCCCAGAAAGUGAAGUGGUCACCAUGGAAACCCCUCCACGACGGAAAGUGAUGGCCAUCUGA